RNAcentral lists this ribosomal RNA (468 nucleotides) under uncultured bacterium. RNAcentral describes it as "partial 16S ribosomal RNA". It matches the Rfam family "Bacterial small subunit ribosomal RNA", at positions 28 to 507 of the family's 1533-position model. The record is from RNAcentral.
GACGAACGCUGGCGGCGUGCUUAACACAUGCAAGUCGAACGGAAAGGCCCUGCUUUUGUGGGGUGCUCGAGUGGCGAACGGGUGAGUAACACGUGAGUAACCUGCCCUUGACUUUGGGAUAACUUCAGGAAACUGGGGCUAAUACCGGAUAGGAGCUCCUGCUGCAUGGUGGGGGUUGGAAUGUUUCGGCGGUUGGGGAUGGACUCGCGGCUUAUCAGCUUGUUGGUGGGGUAGUGGCUUACCAAGGCUUUGACGGGUAGCCGGCCUGAGAGGGUGACCGGCCACAUUGGGACUGAGAUACGGCCCAGACUCCUACUGGAGGCAGCAGUGGGGAAUAUUGCACAAUGGGCGGAAGCCUGAUGCAGCAACGCCGCGUGCGGGAUGACGGCCUUCGGGUUGUAAACCGCUUUCGCCUGUGACGAAGCGUGAGUGACGGUAAUGGGUAAAGAAGCACCGGCUAACUACGUG